GUUCUCAUGAUAGUGAAUGGGUCUCACAAGAUCUGAUGGAUUUAAAGACGGGAGUUUCUCUGCACAAGCUCUCUCUUUUUGCCUGCUGCCGUCCACAUAAGAUGUGACUUGCUCCUCCUUGACUUUUGCCUUCCACCAUGAUUGUGAGGCCUCCCCAGCCACAUGGAACUACAAUGAACUCCAUCCCUGGCCUUGAGGAAGUCCCAGACCACCGAUGAAAUGCAUGGACAGCAACAGAAGAAAGGACAAUCUGAUGAUUCGAGUCAUUUGGAUAAAUAAUCCUCUGAUGCUUAACCAACUUGUGGAAGAAGGAAACUGCUUAGAUGUGUGUAAAAUUAACACCAAGCUCGGAGUGAAAUUCACCAUAAAUCUCAGCUCUAAAGUUAAAUGACACAUUUGAAUCCUGAAAUCAUCAAACAAGCAAAUAAUUUCAGCAGCUGCCUCACAAAAGACAUCUUCAGAGACUACAUUCAGCAAGUAGACAACUAAGAAUUAAUUUAGGAAAAGCACUCACUCUCUCUCUCUUUUGAAAAACUGAAAGGCAGUAUCAAUUGACCAUAAAGUUGAUCUCAAUAGACUGUAUCAGAUACACAGACAUUGAUUUAAAAAUGCAGGCACACACAAAAGUACUCCCUACACAAGCCUAUUCCUUUGGGCCUUUGUUAUUUUUAUUUUUUUUGAGAGGGACUCUUGCUCUGUUGCCCAGGCUGGAGUGCAGUGGCGUAGUCUUGUCUCACUGCAACCUCUGCCUCCCGGGUUCAAGCGAUUCUCUUGCCUCAGCCUCCUCAGUGGCUGGGAUUACAGGCACCCACCACCAUGCCUGGAAAAUUUUUGUAUUUUUAGUAGAGAUGGGGUUUCACCAUGUUGACCAGGCUGGUCUCAAACUCCUGACCUCAUGAUCCGCUCCUCUUGGCCUCCCAAAGUGCUGGGAUUACAGGUGUGAGCCACCGCGCCCGGAUGGCCAUUUUUAAAAAAACUUGAAAUCUGCCUUGAAGACCUGGUAUGAGUUGAACCUCCCCUCCCACCCCAAUUUAAUAUGUUACAGUCCUAACCCCCCCCGCCAGUAAUUCAGAAUGUGACCUUAUUUAGAGAUAACAUCUUUACAGAGGUAAUCAAGUUAAAAUGAAAUCAUUAGGAUAGGCCCUAAUUCAGUAUGACUGGUGUCCUUUUGGACACAGGAACACAUAUAGAAAGAAAAUGAGUUGAAGAGACAUAGAGGGAAGACAACCAUCUAUGAGCAAAGAAGACAGGCCUGGAACAGAUCCUUCUCUCAAAGUCCUCAGAAGAAACCAACUCUGCUGAUUCCUUGAUCUUGGACUUCAAAAUUCUAAGACAAUAAAUUACUGUUGUUUAAGCCUCCCUGUUUGUGGUACUUCAUUACAGCAGCCCUGGGAAACCAGCACAGACCCUAUAGGAGGAGGGUCAUAAGACUGAUCUGUCCUAAUAAAUCGACAGGAAAACACUGCAGAAACUCCCUUUUUCUUGCCUGUAGUCACUUCAUCUGAGAUAGUUUGAAAUGGUCAAACACACUGGAUUUACUGAAGGAUCAAGAUUCUGCUAUUUACUAGCUCUGUGAACAAGAGCCAAUCCCUUAACCUCUCUGAUUUACCAUUUUUGAAAAUAAAGUAAUGAUAUCUGCCAUAUCUCCCUUCAACUCUAUAUAGACAAAAUAUUUUAAAAUAGAGAUAUGCCAAACACUCCAGUGAACUGUAAAAGUUCUCUGUAAACAUAAGGUAUUACCCAUAGUGUUAAUUUUUGGUAGGGUAACCAGAGUGGCAUUUCAGGACACCACUACUGAUACAAUAUGCUUUGAUUUCAGAAAGGCAUCUGAUGGCACCAGACAGAUAACUUUGUUGGACAAGCUCGAAAACGUCAGGCUGGAUGACAGCAGAGUUGGAGAAAUUCAUAGCUGCUAUAUAUUCCUACUUAAAAGGUUGAUUAAUAGGAUGAGGGAAGUAUGGCUGGAGAGCUCUUAGAGAACUCUGGAAACAUAUCAUUGAGCUCGGCCCCAGCCAUGUUCUUGCUAAUGGCUUACUGUGAAAAGGAUAACAAUUUGGAGAAGACAGUUUGUUUACUAGAUAGCACAAUCCAGCUUUAAAAAGGCAGAGACCCCAUAUAUAUGUACAAAUAUUAUGUAUCAGAAAAUUUUUAAAAUGUCAAAAAUACAGCCACAAGCUAAAUGGAAUGUAUGUAAAAUCCUACACUUACAUUUUACACAAUUCAAAUGCAUAGGUAAAGACAUAUGAGACUUGAUUACAGCGAGGACCAGGAGCUUAAAAUAAGCAGCACAGAACAGUCGCCCAUAAAAAUCGAUUCCAGGCUGGGUACGGUGGCUCACGCCUGUAAUCCCAGCACUUUGGGAGGCCAAGGCGGGCAGAACACCUGAGGUCAGGAGUUCGAGACCAGCCUGACCAACAUGGUGAAACCCUGCCUCUACUAAAAAUACAAAAAUUAGCUAGGCGUGGUGAUACAUGCCUGUAAUCCCAGCUACUCGGGAGGCUAGGGCAGGAGAAUUGCUUGAACCCGG
RNAcentral lists this long non-coding RNA (2527 nucleotides) under Homo sapiens (human). Lineage: Eukaryota; Metazoa; Chordata; Mammalia; Primates; Hominidae. The record is from RNAcentral.